UACGUAGGGACCGAGCGUUGUCCGGAAUCAUUGGGCGUAAAGAGCGUGUAGGCGGCUUGCUAAGUCUUGCGUGAAAUCUCGGGGCUCAACCCCGAGCGGUCGUGGGAAACUGGCAGGCUAGAGUGCGGGAGAGGAGAAUGGAAUUCCUGGUGCAGCGGUGAAAUGCGCAGAUAUCAGGAGGAACACCGAUGGCGAAGGCAGGUCUCUGGGCAUUAACUGACGCUGAGGAGCGAAAGCAUGGGGAGCGAACAGG
This 253-nucleotide ribosomal RNA is filed under the name uncultured bacterium. RNAcentral's name for it is "partial 16S ribosomal RNA". It matches the Rfam family "Bacterial small subunit ribosomal RNA", at positions 524 to 776 of the family's 1533-position model. The record is from RNAcentral.